CAGCUGUUGAGACAUCAUCGUGUGUGUCUGUGACAGUGCGACUGAACAACAGCCAACCGCAAAAUGCGAGUCAACUGUUUCGAACUCACUGACUAUAGUGGAGAUGAGUUGCAGCAUUGAUCGUUCACGUGUACUGUAGUAUACAACAAAGUCAAUUUGCAAAAAGCGAGUCGAAUAGUGAAUGGAGUCGUCGGACGAGUGUCACGCGCUACUUCGGGUCGCUUGUUUGCCAUUAAACGACUACGGUUCUCAAAGGACUUUGACAACAACAGGUCAUUGCAACCUGGUCGUUUUAGAUGAAUCCGGCGGCGGCUGCUGUGAAAGUGCGGACGUCAUCAUCGUGCAACAUGAAAUGACGUCGACAACCACCGAACCAACGCACACCGUCGGCCGGAAGUCAUCAGAUCAACGGUUAGAACAGAGCAAAGUGCCGACUCGCGAUAUCGAAACCAACAGCGAUGUGGAAUCGAUCGUAAAGUUGCGUUUGUUCUUGGCUACGGCAGCACUUUGGAUCGUUUGGCUCCUGCUAUACGUCAUACUCUCCCACUGGCGCUUUAUUUAAACCGUCCAAUCAUCUCUGCGCGUAUCAGUGGAACAAUCCGGAAGUGGCCAUUGCAUCCAACAUCAAACUCUGGCAAAAAUAGUAAAUAGUCCCAGAAAACAGCAGAGAUGACGGAGAAAGAAAACCAAAUGUGUAUUUAUUGUUUGUAAAGAAUGUGCAAAUGUGUUUGGCCAAAACAAUUAGAAAAUGAAGCGGAAUUCAAUAUUUAAAAAGGAACAUGAAGCUGACAAAUACUUGGAAAAAUGCAGCAAUAAUCACACACCAAUAAGAAGAAAAUUAGACUAGACCAAAUAAAAAGAUGUUUUUCUUUUCAAAACAGCAGGAUAGAGACUGGAAACAGAUUGGUUUUUGGUUCAAACAAGACGAAACAAAAUUGAAGGAUACAAAAUACAUGUUUAAAGACAAA
Molecule: long non-coding RNA, 968 nt
Organism: Daphnia magna
Lineage: Eukaryota; Metazoa; Arthropoda; Branchiopoda; Diplostraca; Daphniidae
Exons: 2
Source: RefSeq, a predicted model, not a curated record